RNAcentral lists this ribosomal RNA (495 nucleotides) under uncultured bacterium. RNAcentral's name for it is "partial 16S ribosomal RNA". It matches the Rfam family "Bacterial small subunit ribosomal RNA", at positions 28 to 507 of the family's 1533-position model. The record is from RNAcentral.
GACGAACGCUGGCGGCGUGCCUAAUACAUGCAAGUAGAACGCUGAAGGAGGAGCUUGCUCUUCUGGAUGAGUUGCGAACGGGUGAGUAACGCGUAGGUAACCUGCCUGGUAGCGGGGGAUAACUAUUGGAAACGAUAGCUAAUACCGCAUAAGAGUAGAUGUUGCAUGACAUUUGCUUAAAAGGUGCAAUUGCAUCACUACCAGAUGGACCUGCGUUGUAUUAGCUAGUUGGUGGGGUAACGGCUCACCAAGGCGACGAUACAUAGCCGACCGGAGAGGGGGAUCGGCCACACUGGGACUGAGACACGGCCCAGACUCCUACGGGAGGCAGCAGUAGGGAAUCUUCGGCAAUGGACGGAAGUCUGACCGAGCAACGCCGCGUGAGUGAAGAAGGUUUUCGGAUCGUAAAGCUCUGUUGUAAGAGAAGAACGAGUGUGAGAGUGGAAAGUUCACACUGUGACGGUAGCUUACCAGAAAGGGACGGCUAACUACGUG